This is a long non-coding RNA of Spinacia oleracea (spinach), 1098 nucleotides long. RefSeq lists it as uncharacterized. Lineage: Eukaryota; Viridiplantae; Streptophyta; Magnoliopsida; Caryophyllales; Amaranthaceae. The transcript is spliced from 6 exons. The record is from RefSeq and is a predicted model, not a curated record.
UAGAGAGUUGCGCCAGAUCCAAAAAGUAAGUUCCAAAACCCUUAACAUUCUAUACUGAAACCAUUAUACUCAUCUCGCAAAAACUCCCGAAAAAACCCACAAGCAGUUCGACACCCACCACCGCCGCUACACAUCUGCACCACCGCUCCAUUGCGUCGUUCGCCUUCCGUCUACUUCCGACCUCAACUGAGCGCUGGCUUCCCAAUUCUAAAUUGGCACAACAUCAGCAAACUCACUAUCCAACAUCUGAAGAAUUGAGCAUUAGGAACAUCAAAUUCAAGGGCUUCGUUUUGGGAGGACUUCAGAUCUCCCGUCGCAUUGGUUUCUCAUUUGUUAUUACCGCCUUUUCCAAGAUUACUCUAUUCUUAUGAUGGUUACAGAAAGAAAUAGAUGUCUUAGAUUGGAGUGGAAGCCAUGGUUGAUACUCUUCACAAGCAGGCGCAUGGUCCUUUGUUUUCAAUGACAUUGAGAUUCUUGAUAAGUGUACACAAGGAGUUCUGUCUUCGUCAAGGAGUACCCUCACCCAUCUCGAAGCUGACUGAAAAGGUUGCUUCUUGUGGACAAAGAUGCUCCAGAAACACCCCAAUAUGUGAGGCAACAGAGAGGAGCUAGAGAUGUGCUGAAUGAAACCACAUAAGCUCAUCUCCUCAAGAAGACACCAGUGAACACACACUGGCAGCAUCAACUGCGUAGAGAUGAGGCUGGAACAACAGCUAUUAAAACAGUCGAGCUAGAUGCAGCUUUUGGAGGGAAGGCUGUGCAGCAUAGGGAGCUCCAGGGUUUUGAAUCUGACAAAUUUUUGUCGUACUUUAAACCAUGCAUCUUACCUUUAGAGGGUGGAGUUGAAUCUGGAGUUUUGUCGUACUUUGGUCUGCAAAGUUCUUUUUCGAAUUAUUGAAAUUCAAGUGCACUUGAGCAAGAAGAAUUGCAGGGAAUAUAUUCCGCGGUGCAAGCUGAAGUGCUGCUCCUACUGAUGUGCAGCUGGCUCAUUCAAGAACACUACAAACUGAUUUUCUUUGCUUUUUUACUGAACCAGUACGAAGAAGGGGAAUGGUAUUGUUGCAAUUUUUUUAUUUUUUUCCAUUUCCAUUUUGUAAA